UACGGAGGGUGCAAACGUUGCUCGGAAUUAUUGGGCGUAAAGCGCACGUAGGCGGCCUAGCAAGUCGGGUGUGAAAUCCCUCGGCUUAACCGAGGAAGUGCAUUCGAAACUACUGGGCUUGAAUACUGAAGAGGGUCUCGGAAUUCCCGGUGUAGAGGUGAAAUUCGUAGAUAUCGGGAGGAACACCAGUGGCGAAGGCGGCUCACUGGCCCGAUACUGACGCUGAGGCACGAAAGCGUGGGGAGCAAACAGG
Molecule: ribosomal RNA, 253 nt
Filed under: uncultured bacterium
Lineage: Bacteria
Description: partial 16S ribosomal RNA
Rfam family: Bacterial small subunit ribosomal RNA
Source: RNAcentral